This 95-nucleotide transfer RNA is filed under the name Rickettsiales endosymbiont of Peranema trichophorum. RNAcentral describes it as "tRNA-Ser". It matches the Rfam family "tRNA". From Rfam's summary of the family: Transfer RNA (tRNA) molecules are approximately 80 nucleotides in length. Their secondary structure includes four short double-helical elements and three loops (D, anti-codon, and T loops). Lineage: Bacteria; Pseudomonadati; Pseudomonadota; Alphaproteobacteria; Rickettsiales. The record is from RNAcentral.
GGAGAGAUGGCCGAGAGGCUUAAGGCGACGGUUUGCUAAACCGUUAUACGGUUCGAAAGUCUGUAUCGGGGGUUCGAAUCCCCCUCUCUCCGCCA